CUGCCAGCAGGUCAACGGAGGUGAUCCUGCUCCUCUACUCAGCCCUAGUGGAGCCACAUCUGUAGUGCUGUCUGCAGUUCUGGGCUCCUCAGGGCAAAAGAGACACGAAGCUCCUGGUAGAGGUCCAGCAGCAGGCUAUGAAAAUUAUUAAGGGACAGGAGCAUCUCUCUUAUGAGGAAAGGCUGAGGGAGCUGGGCCUGUUCAGCCUUAGAAGAGAAAACUAAGAGGGGACCUCACUGAUGUCUAUAAGUAUCUGAAGGGAAGGUGUCAAGAGGAUGGAGCCAGGCUCUUCCCAGUGGUGCCAAGCAACAAGAGGCAAUGGGCAGAAACUAAUGCACAAGUUCCACCUGAACAUGAAGAAGAACUUCUUUAUUGUGAGACUGACUGAGCAUUGAAACAGAUUCCCCAGAGAUUGUGGAGUCUCCUUCCCUGGAGACAUUCAGAAGCCACCUGGACACACUCCUGAGUAACAUGCUCUAGGGGACCCUGCUUGAACAGAGAGGUUGGACUAGAUGACCUCCAGUGGUCCCUUCCCACCUGAACCAUACUGUGAUUCUGUGAUUCCAAACCCACAGUCUCAAGCUCUGCUGGCUCAAGGCUGAGUACUGCCUCAGAGCAGGAAGGUGGAGUGUCACCCUGAUCCAGUCUUGUCUCAUGAUUUUCUUGCAAAAUACAGUUCUUUUGCAGUUGUGUAGCUCCAGAUAGCCCCAGGUCUUCCAUCACACAUUACAAGGUAUACUGCAACCUGUAACAAAAAGACAACUACUUAAUACACAGGAUUUCCUUUCUAUGAUUGAUAGGCUAUCAGAUCUCCAUUCUGUGUUUGAAGGAGUUGCAGCAUAUCUAAUAGAGGAUUUUCCACACUUUUGAAAAGAACUGGAGCCAUUUGUGAACCACACUGAAUAACCUGUGGCACGAAGUCGAUAGCAGAGCUUUUAUCCAGUGAGAGACACAUAAACAGGACUUCAGCUGUCUGUGAUCCAAGACACAGUUGUGUCACCAUCUCUCAGACUUGUGAGGAAAUUGCUAAAUUCUGAGCAAGAACUACAAAGAAAUUGAUAAAGGGGACUUCUGCAAGAUGGGUCGUGUUUUCCUGGAUUAGACUUAGAAGAUUGGAAAAGAAGCAAAAGAGUAAAACAAUCCUUUGGUGUUAUUUGGUUUCUUUGUCACUGUGUAUUCAAGAAUGGACUCAUCCUUAAGUGGAACAGUUACUUGGAGCAUUCAGCAACACCUCUAAUAAGGGAGCUAUUUUCAAUAAAUUUAAAAUGCAUUCUGAAGAUGAAAAGAACUAUACUGCAGAUGGAAAUAUUCAUGAUGUUGCCAACCAGGGUCAUGAAUCUGAAGACAAACAAAAGAAAAAGAAGAAGCAGAAGAAAGGGGAAAAACCUAAGGUGGUCAGCCCGUUUGCUCUGUUUCGAUACUCCACUUGGUCAGAUAAAUUGUUAAUGAUACUGGGCACUAUUCUGGCAGUAGCCCAUGGAAGCUCUCUCCCUAUUUCGAUGAUAAUUUUUGGUGAUAUGACUGACAGCUUUGUUGCUUCUGGAGACUUAAAUUUUACAGGUAAGAAUAUAUCUGCUGUGCUGAGAACAAUGGCUUGUAUUUAAAAAGAGAUGGGAAGAUUCAGGCAUCUUGACAGGACAUACUGAUGUCAGAAACCCCUGUGCUAUACUAUCACAUGAAUUAGUAAGUUAUGUUCAUUGUAAUAGACAUACACUAUAUUUUGGGGGAUUUUUAUUGUAUU
Lepidothrix coronata (blue-crowned manakin) is the source of this 1741-nucleotide RNA transcript. It is a transcript of the gene named multidrug resistance protein 1A-like, with no coding region annotated. The record is from RefSeq and is a predicted model, not a curated record. Lineage: Eukaryota; Metazoa; Chordata; Aves; Passeriformes; Pipridae. The transcript is spliced from 8 exons.